RNAcentral lists this ribosomal RNA (468 nucleotides) under uncultured bacterium. RNAcentral's name for it is "partial 16S ribosomal RNA". It matches the Rfam family "Bacterial small subunit ribosomal RNA", at positions 28 to 507 of the family's 1533-position model. The record is from RNAcentral.
GACGAACGCUGGCGGCGUGCUUAACACAUGCCAGUCGAACGGAAAGUCCCUGCUUUUUUUUGGUGCUCGAGUGGCGAACGGGUGCGUAACACGUGAGUAACCUGCCCUUGACUUUGGGAUAACUUCAGGAAACUGGGGCUAAUCCCGCAUAGGAGCUCCUGCUGCAUUGUGGUUGUUGGAAAGUUUCGGCGGUUGGGGGUGGACUCGCCGCUUAUCAGCUUGUUGGUGGGGUAGUGGCUUACCAAGGCUUUGACGGGUAGCCGGCCUGAGAGGGUGAACGGCAACAUUGGGAAUGAGAUAACGCCCAGAAGCCUACAGGAGGAAGCAGUGGGGAAUAUUGAACAAUGGGAGGCAGCCUGAUGCAGCAAAGACGCGUGCGGGAUGACGGAAUUCGGGUUGUAAACCGAUUUCGCCUGUGACGACGCGUGAGUGAAGGUAAUGGGUAAAGAAGCACCGGCUAACUACGUG